RNAcentral lists this ribosomal RNA (93 nucleotides) under Pedobacter sp. Lineage: Bacteria; Pseudomonadati; Bacteroidota; Sphingobacteriia; Sphingobacteriales; Sphingobacteriaceae. The record is from RNAcentral.
GUGUCCACCUCUUCCCAUUCCGAACAGAGAAGUUAAGCCCACCAGAGCCGAUGGUACUGCGGUAACACGUGGGAGAGUAGGUCGGUGCCAGAU